UACAGUAUAGCUUUAAAGAAGCGUUCAUAAUGUUUUUCAGCUUUUAGACCCAAAAAACUGUUCAAGACAGCAUUAGAAACAGUAACAAACACUUGUGAUAAAAUCAGAUGAUCUUAGAUGGAUUCACUUGGAAACUGGUCUGGAUGGGACCCAGGGAACUGGUCUGGAUCAGACUAAGUGAUCAGGUCUGGAUCAGACCCAGGGAACGGUUCUGGAUGAGACCCAGGGAACAGGUCUGGAUUAGACCAAGAUAACAGGUCUGGAUCGGACCCAGGGAACUGGUCUGGAUCAGAUCCAGGGAGCAGGUCUGAACCAGUCCACAGUGGGUCAGUUCAGAACAUUGAUGUUUUAUCCAUUGGCUCCAUUAGUUUAUUCACUGUAAUUCAUCAGGAAAAAAUAUGUAAAACAAGCACCUGGAACAUGAUCCAAUCAGAAACAAAUCAACAUCAAUGAGUUUGUUACAAAUAGAAAACAGUAAAGUAGUAAAAACUAAUGAAAAAAGACAAUGAAAAUAAGGAAAAUGGAUUCAAACUCAUCGAAAAUGCUGCUUUAACCAUAUUCACAUUCUGGAUCUAAUCAAAGUAAAUCUUCUCCUGAAAAACAACCUCAU
Molecule: long non-coding RNA, 610 nt
Organism: Sphaeramia orbicularis (orbiculate cardinalfish)
Lineage: Eukaryota; Metazoa; Chordata; Actinopteri; Kurtiformes; Apogonidae
Exons: 2
Source: RefSeq, a predicted model, not a curated record